UUCUUUUAGUUAAAAUUAAAAGUAAAUUCUGCCCUAUGAUUAUUUAAAUGGCUGCAGUAUUCUAACUGUGCAAAGGUAGCAUAAUAAUUAGUCAUUUAAUUGUUGACUUGAAUGAAUGGAUAAAUGAGGAAUUAAUUAUAUUAAUUUUACUUUUAAAAUUUUAUUUUUAAGUAAAAAAGCUUAAAUUAUUUUUCUGGGACGAUAAGACCCUAUAGAACUUUAUUAUAUAUUUUUUUAUAUAAAUUUUGUUAAAUUAUUAUAUAUAAAUUAAUUUUAUUUUUUUGUUGGGGUGACGAAUAAAUAUAAACUUUAUUUUUAAAAUUCAUUAAUUUAUGAUUUUUUUGAUCCAAUUAUAUUUUGAUAUUAAGAUUAAGUUACCUUAGGGAUAACAGCGUAAUUUUAAUGGGGAGUUCAUAUUUAUAUUAAAGUUUGCGACCUCGAUGUUGAAUUAAGAUAAUUUUAGGGGGCAGGUUUUCUAUAUUUAAGUCUGUUCGACUUUUAAAUUCUU
Molecule: ribosomal RNA, 508 nt
Filed under: Anatkina zhoui
Lineage: Eukaryota; Metazoa; Arthropoda; Insecta; Hemiptera; Cicadellidae
Description: partial 16S ribosomal RNA
Source: RNAcentral